CCUACGGGAGGCAGCAGUGGGGAAUAUUGGACAAUGGGCGAAAGCCUGAUCCAGCAAUUCCGCGUGUGUGAAGAAGGCCUUCGGGUUGUAAAGCACUUUAGUUGGGAAGAAACAGCUUGGCCACACCAAGCCUUGACGGUACCCAAAGAAUAAGCACCGGCUAACUCUGUGCCAGCAGCCGCGGUAAUACAGAGGGUGCAAGCGUUAAUCGGAUUUACUGGGCGUAAAGGGUGCGUAGGUGGUUUUGUAAGUCGGAUGUGAAAGCCUGGGGCUCAACCUCAGAAUUGCACUCGAUACUGCAAGACUAGAGUUCGGUAGAGGGCGGCGGAAUUCCCGGUGUAGCGGUGAAAUGCGUAGAUAUCGGGAGGAACAUCAAUGGCGAAGGCAGCCGCCUGGGCCUGAACUGACACUGAGGCACGAAAGCGUGGGUAGCAAACAGGAUUAGAUACCCUGGUAGUCCACGCUGUAAACGAUGAGAACUUGACGUUGGUUCGUUUUACGAAUCGGUGUCGCAGCUAACGCGAUAAGUUCUCCGCCUGGGGAUACGGCCGCAAGGUUGAAACUCAAAUGAAUUGACGGCUGAGAGNGCGAGACGACGACGAGGGAGAGG
This 610-nucleotide ribosomal RNA is filed under the name uncultured bacterium. RNAcentral describes it as "bacterial SSU rRNA". It matches the Rfam family "Bacterial small subunit ribosomal RNA", at positions 338 to 947 of the family's 1533-position model. The record is from RNAcentral.